Molecule: transfer RNA, 61 nt
Filed under: Scorpiops jendeki
Lineage: Eukaryota; Metazoa; Arthropoda; Arachnida; Scorpiones; Euscorpiidae
Description: tRNA-Arg
Source: RNAcentral
AAGUAAGAAGCAAAGUUUUGCGUUUAGUUUCGGCCUAAAAGUUGAUUAAUGUCCUUAUUUA